GAUGAACGCUGGCGGCGUGCCUAAUACAUGCAAGUCGAGCGAACAGAUGAGGAGCUUGCUCCUCUGACGUUAGCGGCGGACGGGUGAGUAACACGUGGAUAACCUACCUAUAAGACUGGGAUAACUUCGGGAAACCGGAGCUAAUACCGGAUAAUAUAUUGAACCGCAUGGUUCAAUAGUGAAAGACGGUUUUGCUGUCACUUAUAGAUGGAUCCGCGCCGCAUUAGCUAGUUGGUAAGGUAACGGCUUACCAAGGCAACGAUGCGUAGCCGACCUGAGAGGGUGAUCGGCCACACUGGAACUGAGACACGGUCCAGACUCCUACGGGAGGCAGCAGUAGGGAAUCUUCCGCAAUGGGCGAAAGCCUGACGGAGCAACGCCGCGUGAGUGAUGAAGGUCUUCGGAUCGUAAAACUCUGUUAUUAGGGAAGAACAAAUGUGUAAGUAACUAUGCACGUCUUGACGGUACCUAAUCAGAAAGCCACGGCUAACUACGCG
Molecule: ribosomal RNA, 497 nt
Filed under: uncultured bacterium
Lineage: Bacteria
Description: partial 16S ribosomal RNA
Rfam family: Bacterial small subunit ribosomal RNA
Source: RNAcentral